AGUACCACAUAUGGCUAUGAGAAGUGGGAAAACUCACAUGGGAAUAAUUUAGAAAGUUAAGUUUAUAAAAAGAAAAAUUUAUAAGUCCAAAAACCAAAUAAAUUUAGGAAAAACGUAAGCAGAAUAAUUUAUAAGUCCGAAGUCCAUCAUAUGUCCGCAUGCCAUGUUCGAUCCUAGUCUCAAGCAUUACUUGAGAUGGUUGAAACUAUGGGGUGAGCUAACUAGCAUAAACAUAAUAUUAUUCAUAUAUCAUUCAUCAUUAAUAACAUUGUAACACAAACAUAGCAUAAACAUUACCAUUCAAAAGUGUCAUGGACAAAACAUAAUACAUAAUGAUUUCCUACCCCAACCAUCCGCUACACACCACAAGUUCCCCAGAACUCAUCUGCCAAACUCCAUACAUUGCGAGUUGAGCUCAAUGUGGUUAAACCACCAUUAUAUGUAAUGAAGAUAUACUGCCAUUCAAAAUAAAUAUGAUAUAAUCGUUGUUCUCCUCAUUACUCCCAGUGCAGUGCACUGACAACAUAUAUGCGGACUUAAUAUGCCUCCAUUACUUCACGGAACUCCUCCUUCAUCCACAUAAUCCCAUCCUAUGCACAUGUAAUAUGUCAUACAAAUUUCAAUUAAAAUCAUGUUUCCAUUACAUUCCCAUUUCAAUAGCAUGUUUUGCAUGCUCAUAACAACAUUCACUUUCAUUCGAUAAUAACAUUUAUCAAUCAUUUAGUUUCACCAUCAAUACAGUGACAUUCCAACAUGUCAUAGUUUCAUUAUCAUUCAUAAGAAAUUUUCCAGUGCAUGUGUAGCAGUCUUUCAUAUAUUUCACAACAUUUUACCCAAACAUACAUUUCAUUUUUAUUCUAAUACGUGCUACUCAUACAACCAGCGUACAUUAUAUCACAAAAUAAUUCAUAUUAAUUCAUAUCAAUACCAGACAUUCAAACAUUCAAUCAGUCAUGCAACAUUGCAAACAUGCCAUUUAUCUAAGGUUCGAAACGUACCUGAUUCAGCCACAUUAAAAUCACUUACUUAGCCAUUUAACUAAGUUUGACCAACAAGCUUAAUCAUCAUUUUAAGUAUUAAAAAGAUUAUUUAACAUUUAAAUUUUAUAGGUUGGAACCCACACCUUAUUUUUGUACAACUGUAGCACUACUUACCAAACUUGCGAUUCCUCCUUUAGACUUAAAUUGAACCUAAAUUAAAAUACAAUAUUUAUCGAGUUAAAAUGUUUCCAAAUCAGCCCUAAAGCACCCUCUUAAAGGUUCAAUCAAAUUAGCAUUACCGUAAUAAUUUUUUGUCUAAAUCGACUAGGCUACUUACACUGAUUUGAUGCGAAACAUACGUACGAAUGAGUUUUGUAGUCAUUGAUGAUCCGAGAAGUUUAAAUCAGCAUAUAAACAUAAUUAAUCCCCAAAAAUCAGUAACCAAAACCCCUGUUCAGAUUUUAAAGCAAUCGACCAAAGAAGAAAUUAGUAAUAAAGAAAAACAGUGCAAGAUCUCGCACAAGUUUGCACUUUGCACCACCCAUUACCCUGAUCUGAGUUGUCGGAUGAACAUCUUUCUGAAUUAUCAAUUAGGAACGUUUAAAUCAGAACCAAAUAGAGGGAAAAAUCUAAAAAAUUAAAAUAGUAGGGGCGAAAAUUGAAGAGAAACGACAAUCCCAAAACAAUGGUACUCUAAGGGCGUGGCAACACCAUUUGAGGUGACAAAAAAGGCAAAUCUGGGGUGCUACAAGGAGGGAUCUUUGGACAACCAAAAAGAAAAAUUUUAAGGGCUAGAAUGAUUGACUUAUUGGAUAUAAAAAUAGUAGCCAAAAAUCGGAUCACAAAGUAUAAGAACAGAGAAAAAAAAAUAGGAUUUACUAGCAUUGAUAUGAACAAGGGAGAGGGAGUGGCAAUGGACAGUAAAAGAGGAUGUUAGGAGAGAAAAAAAAGAAAUUUUAGGGCAGAAAAUAAGGAUGGUUUAGGAGGUCUAAAUGUUCAAUAAGGUGACUGGACAAACCAAAAUAGAAAAACUCUAACAACAGGGCAACACAACUGUGAUGAAAUCCCAAAAAAAGGACGAAACUUUGAGAGAAAAAAAAUAAGAGACGAGAGGAGAACUGCUAGGGUAGGAGAAAAAAAUAGACUUAAGGCUGAAAAGUAAGUGAAAAAGUGAUAUUUAUACUUAGGUUAAAAGGCAUGAGUAGCAUAAAAACAGGGGGAAGGAGAAAAAUUAGCAAAAU
RNAcentral lists this long non-coding RNA (2221 nucleotides) under Gossypium barbadense (sea-island cotton). Its description in RNAcentral is "long non-coding RNA (GBAR_LNC005669)". Lineage: Eukaryota; Viridiplantae; Streptophyta; Magnoliopsida; Malvales; Malvaceae. The record is from RNAcentral.